AUUUAUUCCUGUAGAGGCUGUGUUGAGCAACUUGUGCAUUUCUUCUUGGAACCACUGCCUAUGUUUUAGUUUAUAUCAGCUCUGACUAGUUUGAUUUAAAAACAGGAAAAUGCGGCAGGAGAAUCUUGUUUAGUUUAUUAGUCGUGAGAGCUGUGUAUUCUUCAUAUUGAUCACACAAUUCAUACUUUUUUUUGGUAGUAUUCGAUAUAUCAAUGUUAAUUAGAUAUGUUUCCCUUGUUUGUGCAGAUGUGAGCUGUUUGACACAAAUAUUGAUCAAUAUGUCAGAGGACUUGGUUGAUGUGGAAGGGAAUUGUCUCCACCAUUGAUACUUCUGUUUCGACCAGUAAUGUAAUAGAAAAUGAACAAUUUGCUGCUGCACAAGAUAUGUUGAUCUGGUUCUCGGUUAGCAGGCCACAGUCUCUGCUUUAGUCAUAGAUUUGAGUCCUAUGCAUGUGUUUGGAUUUCUUCGUUAAUGCUGUCAGAUUCUGAAUUUAAUAUCGGUCUUUUAGUUUUUUAGUAAAUAUCGAUGUCCAUCUUUCUGGGCUUUACAGAUACAUCACUCUUUGUUGUUUGAAAGUUUAAGCGUGGAAAACAAAAUUAUUUUUGGCGAUGUUUUCUUUGCAUUUAAUCAUAUAGUCGGCGCAGCCGAGGACCAAAUUUUUGCUGUCAAUUGUUUACUAUUUAUGAUGCAC
RNAcentral lists this long non-coding RNA (692 nucleotides) under Olea europaea subsp. europaea. Lineage: Eukaryota; Viridiplantae; Streptophyta; Magnoliopsida; Lamiales; Oleaceae. The record is from RNAcentral.